RNAcentral lists this unclassified non-coding RNA (251 nucleotides) under Mortierella elongatula. Its description in RNAcentral is "partial internal transcribed spacer region". The stretch from base 1 to 46 matches the Rfam family "Eukaryotic small subunit ribosomal RNA", at positions 1786 to 1831 of the family's 1831-position model. The record is from RNAcentral. Lineage: Eukaryota; Fungi; Mortierellomycota; Mortierellomycetes; Mortierellales; Mortierellaceae.
AAGUCGUAACAAGGUUUCCGUAGGUGAACCUGCGGAAGGAUCAUUCAUAAUAAGUGUUAUACUGCACUUUUUAAACAAGUACUCACCUUGUGUGCAAUGUUUGCUGCUUUUCCAUAGUUUGCGCGGUUUAUUCCGUGUCUUUUUGUGGGAACACAGUACAAUACCAACCUUUUAUUGUAAAUUUUUUGUCUGAAGCUAUUUCGAAUAUAUAAUUCUAAAUACAACUUUCAACAACGGAUCUCUUGGCUCUC